CCUACGGGGUGCAGCAGUGAGGAAUAUUGGUCAAUGGACGAGAGUCUGAACCAGCCAAGUAGCGUGAAGGAUGACUGCCCUAUGGGUUGUAAACUUCUUUUAUAAAGGAAUAAAACGAGGCACGUGUGCCUCUUUGCAUGUACUUUAUGAAUAAGGAUCGGCUAACUCCGUGCCAGCAGCCGCGGUAAUACGGAGGAUCCGAGCGUUAUCCGGAUUUAUUGGGUUUAAAGGGAGCGUAGAUGGGUUGUUAAGUCAGUUGUGAAAGUUUGCGGCUCAACCGUAAAAUUGCAAUUGAUACUGGCAGUCUUGAGUACAGUUGAGGUAGGCGGAAUUCGUGGUGUAGCGGUGAAAUGCUUAGAUAUCACGAAGAACCCCGAUUGCGAAGGCAGCUUACUAAACUGUGACUGACAUUGAUGCUCGAAAGUGUGGGUAUCAAACAGGAUUAGAUACCCGGGUAGUC
RNAcentral lists this ribosomal RNA (460 nucleotides) under uncultured bacterium. RNAcentral describes it as "partial 16S ribosomal RNA". It matches the Rfam family "Bacterial small subunit ribosomal RNA", at positions 338 to 795 of the family's 1533-position model. The record is from RNAcentral.